RNAcentral lists this long non-coding RNA (2527 nucleotides) under Mus musculus (house mouse). RNAcentral describes it as "long non-coding RNA chr11:98278358-98280885". The record is from RNAcentral. Lineage: Eukaryota; Metazoa; Chordata; Mammalia; Rodentia; Muridae.
GGCUUAUUACCAGAGUGAGCGGAGUUGACCAGAGAAAGCAGAGGUCCUAAAAAUUCAAUCCCCAACAACCAAAAGAAGGCUCACAACCAUCUGUACAGCUGCAGUGUACUCACAUCCAUAAAAUAAAUAAAUCUUAAAAAAAAAAAGAAAAGAGAAAAAGGAAAUCCUUAAAGAAAAAAAAAAAAAAAGACAAGGUUUCUCUGUGUGGUCUUUGCUGUCCUGGUGUUGUCUCUGUAGACCAGACUGCCUUGAACUCAGAGACUUGUCUGCCUCAGUCUCCCAGGUUCCUUUGAAACAGGCUUUUCUGUAGACCUGGCUAUCUCAAACCCAUUACAUAGUUGAAAGUGACAUUAAACUUCUGAUCCUCCUGCCUCUACCUCCCAGGUACUGAAGUUACAGGUUUGUUUCACCAUAUCUUGCUUUUAUAGAUGUUUUAAUUGAAAUAAUUAUAGAUUGACUUUCAGUUUAAAAAAUUAUACCAAGAUCUGGGGGUAGUGGUUUAUGCAUGUAAUCUCAGUACUCAAGAGGCUGAGACAAAAGAAUUGCCUAAAUCUGAGAUCAGUUUGGCCUACAGAGAGAGUUCCAAAUCAGCCAGGGGUAAAGUAAAGCCCUGCCAUCACAAACAACAAAGCAAAACAAAGCAGGCUGGGUGUGUGGCGGUACACCUUUCUGUAAUCACAGCACUCGGGGAGUUUGUGAGUUGGAGGCCAGCCUCAUGUACAUAGUUGUAGCUAGUCAUAGCUACAUAGUGAGACUCUGUCUCAAAGAAACAAAGGCUGGGGAAUGGUUCAUUGAGUUGAUGUGUCUGCCGCAUGAACAUGAGGGCAUGAGUUCACAUGCUUCACAGAUGUGUAACCCCAGCACUAGGGGUAGGGGGAAACAGGUGGGUCUCCAGAGGUGCUAAGUAGCUACUGACCAAUUGUUGAUUCUUUGGUUCAAUGAGAGAUCCUGUGGCAAAAAAUCAGGUGAAGAGUGAUACCCAUCAAUAUCUAGGAUCUGUGUGCAUAAUCACACAUGUACCCACAUGGAUAUAUAUACACAAAUACAGACACACAAAAAAAGAGGCCCCCUGAAUGGUAUUACUUUCCAAAAUUGUAAUAAAAUGUAUCUAUAAUGAUAUUAAUGUAGUCUAUUAAUCUUACAAAGGUUCCUGUCAUUUUCUGUCUGUGUGAGUGGGUGUAUGUGUGUGUGUUGGGAGUGGGGUAUGCAGCAUGGAUAUGGAGGUCAGAGGACAACCUAUAGAAGUUGAUUUUCUCCUAUCAUGUGUGUCCUGAUGAUGGAACUCGAGGUUGUCAGACUUGGUGGCAGAGACUUGACUCGCUGAGCAAUCUCGCUAGCCCCAAAGUAUCUGUAGUUUUUCUGACUAUGGACAUGUGGGUAAAUGUAUGCGCACAGUUUUAUUUCCUGUUUUACAUUUGUAUAUCCACCCUACAAUGAAACUGCUGAGCAGAGAAGGAACGGUGUAGCUUGGUGGUAGAGGCACUUGCCUAGCAUACACAGGCUCUGGGGUUUAGUCUCUAGUGCCCACAGGAAGGGAAGGGAAGAACGAAAGGAUGCUCUAUAGUUCUAGCACCACAGGAUUCCUUGUGAAUUUUUUUUAAAUCACACCUAUUGCUCCACCUCUUUUUCCUUCCCUCAAGUUGUAUGUUUAAUAUGGAGUCACUUUUCUCCAUUAUAUGAUUUCCAGGCACUGAACUCAACUCAUCCUUUUUUUGUUGUUGUUGUUUUUUCUGAGACAGGGUUUCUCUGUGUAGCCCUGGCUGUCCUGGAACUCACUCUGUAGACCAGGCUGGCCUCAAACUCAGAAAUCUGCCUGCCUCUGCCUCCUGAGUGCUGGGAUUAAAGGCGUGCACCACCACUGCCUGGCUUUUUUUUCUUUUUCUUUUCUUUUUUUUUUUUUUUCAAACUCAGCUCAUCAAACUGAAAUAGACUCUUUAUCUACUGAACCAUCUCAUCUACCUAGAUCUUAGUUCUUGGUACCAUUAAUCUUCCCUUUUAAAAAUAUUUUAGGAUUGUUAUUUCUCAUGAAGCAUAAUUCUGGAUAUCCAUCUGAAUAUCUGUAUGUACCAGUGAUUUUUUUCUUUUAUUUAGUCCAUGGUGUAGGUAGGCCACCAGUACUUUAAUUUAUUCUGUUCUAGCCUAGUUCACUUUUGAGGCACAGCCUCAUUUAUCCCAUGGUGACCUUAAAUUUCCUAUAUAGGCAGGGAAGACAUCUUAAUACUGGUGUUACUGGUAUACAUACCCACAUCAAAUUUGUACCACAGUUAAUUUUUCCAUUCAUCUGUUGAUGGCUAUCUGGGCUAAUUCUACAUUUCUUUUUUUCUUUUUCUUUCUUUUUUUGGGGGUGGGGAGGUUGAGGCAGGGUUUCUCUGUAUAGCCCUGGCUGUCCUGGAACUCACUCUGUAGACCAGGCUGGCCUCGAACUCAGAAAUCCACCUUCCUCUGCCUCUGGGAUUAAAGGUGUGCACCACCACGCCUGGCUUACUUCUACAUUUCAUACUACAAAUAAACUUGAACAUUUGUGUCU